Molecule: ribosomal RNA, 257 nt
Filed under: uncultured bacterium
Lineage: Bacteria
Description: partial 16S ribosomal RNA
Rfam family: Bacterial small subunit ribosomal RNA
Source: RNAcentral
GAGAAGCGAAACUGCGAAGUGGAGCAAAACUCUAAAAAACAAUCUCAGUUCAGAUUGCAGGCUGCAACUCGCCUGCAUGAAGUCGGAAUCGCUAGUAAUCGCGGAUCAGAAUGCCGCGGUGAAUACGUUCCCGGGUCUUGUACACACCGCCCGUCACACCAUGGGAGUCGGAAAUGCCCGAAGUCAGUGACCCAACCGGAAGGAAGGAGCUGCCGAAGGUGGAGCCGGUAACUGGGGUGAAGUCGUAACAAGGUACC